GAUAAGCUCUCCCUCGAAUGUCUAACAGAGCUUCUGUAGAAGUUGAGCGCUCCUUGGAGGGACAGGGAGUCGAGUCUGGGGGCAAGAACUAGGAAGGUCUUAAACCCUACUCUGUGCUGGAAUCCUGAAGAGCCUGCGUUCAUCCAAACCUUAGAACUCUCCAGAGACGCUGCCAUCCAUACCUCAGAACUAGAAGGCAGUGGCGAUCCUCAACGCCGACUACACGUUACUGCCUGCUACUUCCGGCUCCUGCGUCGCUCCGGAAGCCCGCGAGUUCCGGAAGCCUUGGUAAUCCGGAUUCGGCUAGGAAAAGACAAGCAUUCCAGAGAAUGUUUCAGAGAAAGUUACGUGGAGCGUGGGCGUUUCGCAGACUCCUAAGCUUCUGGCAAGUAUGAGGCAAGGAUUUCACAGAAGAACUUGCAGCAGAAAUUCCGAUUGCCAUAGCUAUAGGCUGUCCAGUCUUGAGGGAGUUGCAGGAACGGGAAAAAGGUGAGAUCUCUCCAGAAGAUGGUUGGCAUUUAUGGUGAGAAACAUUCCUGUUACAUAUCUGGGUUGAGAGAAAAAUAGAACCAAACAGCCUAAUCAGUGGUCAUUUUUGUUUCCUGGACUUAAACUUGUUAAACAUGUAGUCUUCUGCCACUAAGUCUUCUAGGAUGCGUGGGUAAAUUUAGAACUUCGCUCUUGAAAACAUUUUCUCUUGUCAAAGAUACUCCCAAUUUCAAGAAAUAUAAGUUUAUUUUUACCUUCUAAUAAUUUGCAUGUAUCAUCUUUUUAAUAAAAAUCAUAAUAGAAUAGAUUUGAAAGGAAUUUGAAGGUCAUUUUGUCUCUAGCCAUUUGUUUUAUAAGUGAAAAAACCAAGGCAUAGGUCAAGGUCAGAGGAAAUGACUUAUCAAAGAAUACAUGACCAGACCAUGGCAGUGAGCUCUGGCAGGAUCCAGUCUCCCUCUGUAACUGUUCUUUCUGUUAGCAUAUUGACCUUUUAAAGGCCUAAACAUGAUAAACAAGCCCAGAGUGGUGCUAACCCAUUUUAAUUUUUUUGUGUUUCUUUUCCCCCAGCUUUAUUAAAGUAUAAUUGACAAAUAAUGGUAUAUAUUCAAAGUGUGCAAUGUAAUGAUUUCGUAUCUGUAUAUAUUGUGAAGUGACUGCUACAAUCAAGUUUAUUACCAAAUCAAUCACCAGCCAUAGUUAUUUACCAUCUGUGUGUAUGUGUGUGAUGAGGACACUUCAGAUUUUCUAUUGGCAAAUUUCAAAGAAAUAAUAGAGCAUUAUUAACUACACUAUUGUAGACAUGAGUUCCCCAGAACAUAGUCAUCUUAUAACUGAAAAUUUGUAUCCUUUGGCUAACAUCGCCCAUUUCCCUCACCCCUCCACUCCCUACCAACCACCAUUUUGCUCUCUGUCUUUGUGAGUUUAACUUUUUUAGAUUCUGCAUAUAAGUGUGAUCUCACUUAUAAGUAUGAUCUCACUUAUAUGUAGAAUCUAAAAGAGUUAAACUCAUAGAAGUGAGUAAAUUUAAGUCUGAUUUUUUUUUUUUCCUUUGAUCAUGGGUGGAUUUUCCAGUUAGUUAAUAAUAUUUAAAAUAUCCAAACUGAUCUGUAUCCUGGACUAUAGCAGUAACUGGGUGUUUAAAUUACAUCAGCUUGCACAUAAUAGGUAUUUAUAAUAAUAUGUGUGUAUUGAAGCAGUAAGCUGUACCUAGGUAACCAUUAAUCAGCUUUUUGUAUUUCAGUUAAAUUUUUUCCCUUUAGCACCAAUUUGUUUCCUUAAUGUAUUUAUGAAAUUAUUGUGGUAUAUAUUUUAUAUCACAUAAAAAUGCAUGAUGUAUACAUUUUUAGUACCUGAAUAAUGAUUUUUCUGCAUUCUUCUUGCUUCGUGCUAAGAUUUAGUACUAUUUAUUUUCUGUAGUAGUGUGUUAGAAUAAUAAACACGUAUCAUUCAUUAUUUUUCUAACUUCCUUUACACAUAUAAAAUUUAUUUGAGAAAGAUUAAAUGGCUUACUUAAAAAUAAUACCUUUGAAAUCAGUAAAAGUGCUGGAAAAUAAACUGAGGUCUUGACUUAACCAUCUAUUUGCAAUGUUCUAUGUAGCUGUACUUACUACAUUCCUAUAUCUCUUCAUUAGUCAUAUUAUUCAGCCUCCUUUCUGUUAGCUUCAGGAUUUGAAUAUCUCCCUGCUAGAAUAUCUGACCAAGGAGUAUUGCUUAGAAGUAUAUUUGUGGAAAUAGAGUACAGGUUUUGUUUUGUUCUGUUGUUUUAUUAUCAUUUCUUUGAUGAAGAGGGCCAAGAAAAAAGAAAAAUAAAUUAAGAAGAAAAAAAGGCAGGGGGAGAAAAGAAAGGCUCUGAGAGACAAGACGGAAAGAAGUUUCAGGUAAGAAGUGAUGAUUCCCUGUACUAUUUUAGACUACUGAAAGGCUCAUCUCCUAUGUGUCCUAUGUAAUUUGUGUAUUACAGUUUCCAGGCAUAAUUUAUGGAGAUCGUACAAGAUUUUAACUCUUUGCUAAUGUUCUUGGAUUGUAUUUUUUCC
Long non-coding RNA from Callithrix jacchus (white-tufted-ear marmoset), 2522 nucleotides. The record is from Ensembl. NCBI's taxonomy places the organism in Eukaryota, Metazoa, Chordata, Mammalia, Primates, Cebidae.